UUUUUUUUUUUUUUUUUUUUUUUUCUGCUUCUCACCUUCUCUGAGAUGUCAGUGCUAUAACUUAAUGAAAGUUCUAGCACUUCCUCACACUUCCUUCAGCCACUCUGAUAUGAAAAAAAUCUCAUUCCAGGGUUGCUCAGAAGUAUUGUCAAUGAGGAAAAUGACAUAUAACAUUAUUCAGUUAAAAUCUGAAAAACAUUUUGUUCCUUAGGACUACCUUCUAAGAGCAGGAAAUCCUCCUUGUCAAACAAUUGGUUUACAUCAAUUAAAUAAUGAUGAAUACUUCUAGCUAGGAAGCACCUGUUGUAAGGUGUAUCCAGUAAUGCAAAAAACCCACAAUAAGACUGUGAGGAGCAAAUGUGAGGCUGACUAGACUGAUUAAAUUGAAAUAGUACUUGCAGGUACUCCAACUCUCCAUGCCUUGAGUAUGCACACUCAAAAUUCAAUAAAUCCUUGAACCUUAGUAAUUUCUUUGAUCUGACUGUCUCAUAUCAUAAGGAAAGCAAUCAGUUACACUGGAGGAUUUAGAUACUGACACAACUGCACCAAAGAGUGGCUUGCACUUACUGUAGACUAGAAAGCCUGUGGUUACAAUGAUACAUUGUCACUUUUUUUUUCCCCCCAAAAUUGCAAAGUUAAACCUUCCUGGCCACAGAUGGGGGGAAAAACAAACAAAUAACAACAACAAAAAAUCAAAACCAAAACUGGUUUACACUAAGAGUUAUAGCUGUUUGUUUAACCCUGCUAGGACUUGUCUUCAUCCUUCUUCCCACAGAUGUGCAUAUCUCAAACAGCAUGCUUUUGAUUUUUUGGUUAGUGUAAUAUACAAACUUUAGGAAAGAUGAUCAGAUCCAUUCAUGUACCAACAUAAUAUUUAUUUCCUCUGGUUUACAACUGAAACUAUGAAGUAUUCUACUGUCUUUGGGAAUAGUUCAUGGAUCAUCCAGUGGCCUGCAGGUCAUUAAAUGUUUUGCAACAUUUUAUAGUGAAAAUUAUCUGAGUUCAUAUAUAGUAAGCCUUGAAAUUAGUUGUCGGUGUUUAUCAGACUUUUAGUUAUAAACAUAAUUAGCUCUUGAUCCAAAAUCUAGGAUGGUCCCUGGAUAUGUCUGACUUUCACAGUCUUUUCCUAGUGAGGGUGAGUCAGCCACUUGGCAGUGCAUGCAGCUGGUGUGAUGGUAGAGCUGUAUCCCUAGCAUACACGGCAAUCAAAUAUUUCCUUCUCUCUGCUUCAUUGAAGGAUGGUAAAGAAAGAAACAGAUAUUAAAUGAAAAAGUGAAGGCAAGACAGACAGGAAAAAAGAAGGACAGAAAGCUAUUGUCCAAAAAAGAAGACAAUGUGUUCCAAUUGCUGGCUUGGGUUUUUGCAGACUGAAGUCUAUUUCUGUACUUACUGAAGAGAAAUCUUUGGGAACCUCUGAAUCUCUGAAAAGCUUUCUCUUUGCUUAAUCCAAAAUCAGAAUUUGUUUCAUGAUGACAAUUAGGAUGGAAUGGAUUGAAUUCCCCUCUCAGUUAUCAUGACAAGGAUCCUCAAAUAAAGUGAAUGCUUCUAAGAUAUGCCAGCUUCCAACCUGAGGAUUGUUCGGUCUGGGGCUGCGUGAUGCUGUGAAGGCUCCGAGUCCGAAAGAUUUCCGUUUACUGUGGCUGUUGGACAGAACUGUAAAUGAGUAAAUACAAAAACUGGAGAAUGGAUGGAGGAGAAAAUAUUAUCACUUAAGGAAAUUUGUGACAGAUGGCAACAGAGGGACAGUCUGACAGAAUGGCAUCUGACAUGAAGAUAACAAAGCUACAUUCCUAAGGCAAGACCAGUUAAUGCUGCAAGGUACAGUGUGGAGCACCAUGUAUGCAGUUUCAAAGAGAAGUCAUAUUUGUGUGAUCGUAUGGGUGAGAAGAAGAGGUGAAUAAUAUGUAAAAAAUGAGACAGGAGUAUAAGAGCAAGCAUUUUAUAUGCCUGAAUUCUGCAAACCAGUUUUCUUCAGUGGCCCCUGUAUAACUCAUCUACUUGGAAAUGAAGAUCUAUAGUUGUGAUGUAUAUGCUCAGAAAAAUUAAUGCAGAACAAAAUUCUCCUACUGGAAUAUGUUUACUUCAGAAAUUUUGAGUUCCAUUGUGACAGAGGAUUGCUUAUUCCCUAAUACAAGCAUCAUCCCCUGCAGAGAGCUUUCCCUUUUGAACUUGUGUGAAUUGACUGAAGCUUUGUUCCAAGUCUCUCUGGAGUACUGACAUUCAGGUUGCUGACAGAAGAACCCUGAAGAUAGCUCAAGGGGAUUUCUGUAUCCUUUCAGCUGCCACUAUGAUCAGGUUUUUAAAGUUUUCCUUGAAGAUGAGUUCUAAUUGAGAGCUAAACAAUUCUGAAAGCUUUUCUGUGGAAGACAGAGUUAAAGCAAACAACUGAAAAAAAAGAAACAAAGAAUGAAAGAAACUCUUAAGAACUAGUAACCCAUCUGGAGGACAAAAGGUAUAAUAACUACAAUCAAACAAUCAAGUUUACACUGGAAAAAUAACAUGGAGUUUUAUUGAAAAAUACUGUAAGUUAUUUCAUGCAGAUGGUCUUCCUGGUUUUUACACAGAAGGAAGAUGAGACAAAUAUGCCGUUGGAAAAGGCUGAAGGAAAGAGAUGCCAAGUGUCAGUAAAGAAAGAGCUUUGGUGCAUGAGACAGCAGCAGGAAAGCUAGUGCAUCUUCAAUAAUUAACUUGGUUGCCUAAUUAGCAAAAAUCUCCCACAAGACUGCUACUAAUACUUUGUAUUAUAGUAUCUUAAGAGUCUAGGAUCACCAUACUGUAACAAGAAUUACAAGUGAAAUUACAUGUCUCUCAUGAAAACAUAGAUGUUUUUUCUGUCUUGAUGGCUCUGCAGCUGGUUCAGAAAUUGUUUGUCUGCAAUGGCACUUUUGUUUUCCAUCUGAAAGAAGCAGACCACAAGUGUUCUGAUAUAUCUAUACAAUGGAAUGGAAAUAUUCUGAAGUCUGUGAAACUGAACUCAGCAGUGAUUUUGUCCUUGCAUUUCCUUAUAACUGGAUCCUCGUUCAUUAAGUGUAAGACUUUUUCUGCAGCACAGGAUAAAGCAGAGGAGGAGCAAAAUUCAUCAAAAAUCUCUGAUGAACACCUUGAGAACUCACUAUGAAGUGCAACCACUCCCAUCAUACCAGACUGAUAUGUACAAGAUGCAAGCAAUGUCAGAGGCUGCUUCAUUUCUAUGCCUAGUGUGGAUGUAUGGAUCACCAAGAUAGGCUUUAUAUUUGUACUUAUACAAGAAAACAGUCUAGUUUCACAUUGGUGCUGACAGCCUUGUAUCUAUACCAGUCCACAAGUGCCAUUUUCUAUCUCCACCAAAACAGCGUCAUCACAACAGUAGAAUAUGCUUGCAUCAAGAAGGAGUUCUUACUUACUGGAGGACCAGGUGGGCCAGGUAAACCACUGUCACCCUUUUGGCCAGCAGGACCCUAUAAAGUAAUGAAAGAAAUGUGUUAUUGACCAUACUACUUUAUAUUAAAAAAUAAUGUACACACAGAAAUGAAGCACAAAACCAGAAAAUAUGGAGAAUUACUCACACUGGAUCCUUUGGAACCUUUUGGACCUUGGGGACCCUAUGGACAAGAGUAUAAGCAUGUAGUUGGAAUAUAUUCCACAAAACAUGGGAGUGUUUAGAACAGGAGAACUGGGUGAAAUUACUUACAGGUAAACCAGGAGGACCAGGGGGUCCGAGUGGACCAGCAGGACCAGAAAUUCCCUAAGAAAGAAUAAGGACAGAAUUAAAGUAUUUUUUGUACUGGACUGAGUUAAGAAAUGUAGAUCUAUUGAGAAUGGUAGUCCUACUAAGUGCCCACCCCUGAAACUAAAGUUUCCCUUUAGUCCAUUUGCUAGGGUCCAAAAUAAUUUUUAAAUUUAAAAUACAAUCUGACAGUUUUAGUGUCUCUCAUGCUCCAGCAUUUAUAGUCACAACACUGUUCUCCUUCAGAUAAACGUUAAAGCUUCAUAUUUUACAGAGAGUUUUAAAACAUAGCUUAAUAACCAGGAAAAGAGAGUUUGCUUUGGGUAGUAUGUAACAAGACUGGCGCUGGUAGUUAUCUGAUACCUAACAGAGGUAUACUGUUUCCUUCAUCAACAAUCUGUGUCCUGGUUUUACCUUGUGUUUAUACAAUGCCUAUGAAAGCUUUAAACUCCAGCUGGAGAUUCUGAGUAUCAAUGUUUAUAGUAACUUCAUGUGUCUCCUGCAAGAAAGACAUACAUGAAACUUGAAUGAAAGCAAAAGAGUGUUUUACUUACUGCAUCACCUUUGGCUCCAGGAGACCCCUGUGGACCAGGAAGACCCCUAUCACCCUUUUCACCUUGUUCUCCUGGAGGUCCAAUCAGGCCAAUCAAACCAGGAUGUCCCUAAAAAAGACUUAUGUACAAGGCCAAAAUUACAGAGGCUCAAACAAGGAAUAAAGAUGUUUUCAUAUACCUUCUCUCCUUUGGAUCCUGGAUCUCCUUUCAGACCAGGCAAGCCAGGUGGGCCCUAAAUAAAUAAAAAGAAGUAAUGUAAAAGUAAGUUGUGACAUACUGUACAAAUCAAGUUUUCCUGAAAUAUUUUAAAGGUAGUGUAACUACAGGGUCAUUCAGUGGAUGAUGGUUGUGAUUCAGAGCCCAAGAUAACAUUGGCAUGGAUCUUUAGAAUGCCGUAAUGAUGUUAUUGUAGCAUUUAAAUUACUUUAUAAUUAGAAAUCUAUAAAGACUGUAAUUAUUAGAAAUUUAUGAAGAAGGAAAGAAUUACUAAAUUCAUAAACAGUACCGAAAGCAUCCAGGAAAUUACGUGAUAGACAAAGCAAUUUUCAAUUGAAUUUUUGUUGAUUAGCCUAAUUUUGAGUGUGGUUACAUUUUUAUUUUAUUAGUACUUCCACCAUAACUGCUGUACCUAUCCUGUUGUAAGACAGUAGUAUGUACUUCUGCAGCCCUUUAUUUCAUAAGACAGUGGAAACAACCCCUUAUUUUUUUUUUCUUCCAGGUUAUUACAAAUCAGUAAAUGACAUUGCUGAUUGUAACAGCUCCUCAAUAUUGCUUUGUUGAAGAACUACCUCAUGCUUAGGUUCUGUACUCCAGAUAUUGUCUUGGGAUUACAAUUUCCUUGAUUUACAACCUGAAAUUCCUGCAUGACAAUGAAUAAUGCAGUUAAAUUUUCUAUUUUUUCUACUUAUAUUCUAUUUAUAGAAUAUUCAAGUUCUUUCUACUCAACAUUGCAAGCUUAAUGUCAUCGAGGUAUGAUAGAUCCAAUAGUACAUACAAACCCAUGGUUCACCAAUACUGUAGUAAAUAUGGUAACAUUCGCACACACGCAUACACAAAAGUGAGCUCCAAAAGUAAUGCCUCCUAUUUUAUUACACUGGCCUACAAUAUCAGAGACAGAUAGAUGUUGGUGGUAUGGCAGUACAGGUUGAACCUUCCCACCAAUUUUCAAUUACAUUUUGUUGCUGUGUGGCAGCAGAGCAGCAGUCUGACAAAAUGGCGUCUGGAAGCGUGUAUGAAGCACAAGUGUGUCCUUUGCUCCAUGAGGAAAAAAUUGCACUCACUGACAUGCAUCAACAUGUGGACAUCAGAGUGGAUGGUAUCACAGUAAGGUGGUGGACCAGGUGGGCCAGCUUCUCCUGAAGGACCUGGUGGACCCUGCAAUGGAAAGCAAUAGGUUCAGUGGUAACAAUAUAUACAAUCAUUUUCUUUCUUAACUGCAAUGAACAUCUGCAAUAUCUCCUUCAAUGGACAGAAAGUAAUUAUCAUACAGAAGCGAUACUUGCUUACUCAGCAAGUCCUUUCUUAGAGUCAUCUUUUGCAGUUUUUAACAGGUUUUUACAAAAUGUAACUACUCUUUUUUUCUUGUUUAAAACAAAACAUUUCAUUUCUGGAAGUGGCUGCACAGAAGUAAUGUACAAUCUACUGACUAACUUGAUUAAGAGUAUUUCUUGCUUUCUUGGGUGCUGAAGUUGUUAUUUUCCUUCAAUUUUUCCUAGUAAGUUAGCUGCCCAGUAAGUCACCUUCUAUUGAAAAUAUUCUACACUGACAGCCAUUUGGCUCCCCCAUACAGGUAUGCUGUGAUUCUCUUUUAAAGACUUCAGGUCUACUGAACAGUUUGAUAAGUUUUUCUUCAUGAGCACAACACUCUAAAGGUACUUACUGUGAAGUUAGAUAUACAGAUGUUCAUCCUGAACUUUUCAAUUUAAACUCUGGUUUAUAACUUAGUUCCAACCAUAUGUUGAAUUACUAGUAUUUUUUCUUUCACAUUGUACUGUAUAAAAUAUUUCCUUGAUACUCAGAAAUUCCAGAGCUGUAAAGAGACCUUCCAAAAAGGAAGCCCUAGCUUUCUGCAGUAAAAGAUUAUAUUCAUGAUGCUUUAACAUAGAAAUCUCCAGAAAGUUAAGAGCAUUGAAUAAUACUGCUUAGGUAACUCUUAGACUUCACAUGAAAUACAGUAGAAAUUCCAAGAUUUAGAUUCACUUCAUAAAGAGCUAAUGAAGACUAUUUGGCUUCAGCGUUACUUUUUUAUACUAAGGACUGCUAUCGUUUUAAUGCACCUCAGCAGCUCUGGCACAAAUCUUUAAUGAACUGUUUAUUUCUCCUUCUAAAAGAAAUGACCUCUUGCCUUUGAUUGUACCUAUUAUAUAGGUAAUUCUAUUUCUACAAGGAAAUAAAGAGAUUUUUCAGUACAAUACAAAGAGAAUCUGUUUAGAAAAUAUUUGUUAGAGUACGAAUUUAUAGAAAACACUGAUUCAGCAAAAAGUAUUUUCUCAGCACAGGAGAAAACAUGUAGCCAAAACAAAAUGACAGAAACAACUCACAGGUUGACCAGGAUCACCAUCUUCACCCUUUUCUCCACCAACACCAUCUUGACCCUACAGAAAUCAUGUCAAAAUAAACAAAAGAUACAAACUCAGAUAAAUUCAGUGACUUAGUUUCAUAUAUGAAUAUAAGAACACUAGUUUUCUGCAGCGAAUUUUUCUACAGACACUCAUUUUCAAAACUUUUUAAAGAUUUCUGUUUUUUUUUAGGUAGGAUUUAAGAAAUAUAUGGAAAGCUGAAGCAAUAAAUCUGAAAGGAAGACCUCCUUUCCAAACCAAGAAGAGAUGGGGGUAACUGCAGUUGAAUGCAAACCAAGUCCAGGACCUAAAACUGCUUUUCAAAUAUACUUACAGCUGGACCAGGCUCUCCAGGGGGACCAGGAUCUCCAGGAAAACCAACCGGACCCUAGGUAAAUCAGGAAAAAAACACGGAAGAUGUCAUCUACAGAGAAGCAGGUCUUUCUUGGAAGGGAUGCAGAGGCCAAAGCAUACUGACAUUAUAGGAAAAGUACUGGGAAUAACACUUAUGCGGGAAGAGGAAGAAAAGAACUCAUUAAAUGGAACUGGAAUUAAAAAGGAAGAUGCCCUAACUAGGAAGAGAUAUCAGUCACAUGCUAAAAUUUGAGAAGGAGGAAAGUAAUUAGAAGAAAUAAGAUCUCCAAAAUAAUAUACUGCUAUGCCAGGAGCACCAACAGGACCCUGGAGACCUGGUGGACCUGGAGGACCCUGCAACAAGCAUUCAAAAGGAAAAUUUCAGAAAGGAAACUGAAGAUAUUUCAAGCUCCUCUUGAACAGGAAAGAGGGAGCAAUUUUUCCUUGCUCAGUGUCCUCGCUGUGAUGAGACUAAAUAACCAUGGAGGAUUUUAUGGGUGUGCAGUUUCAAGCGUGAAGGCCCAAAGGAGGCAAUUCUGUAUCAAUCAAUAGUAUAUCAUUUUAAUCCAGCUAUUGACUGUUAAACUGCAAAGGCUCCAAAGACCUGGCUUUGAAGAGAACCACUUGGACCAGCAGGACCAGGAAGUCCUACAGGACCUUGUACUCCAUCACGUCCAGCUGGACCUUGAGGACCUUUUUCACCCUGGUUUUCAGGAAAAGGAAGUGAUCCACAUUAUCACAGGAGUUUAAUAAAGCUUUCAGAGCAGGAGCACCCUUCUCCCCUGCAGGGCCUGGAGGACCCUGAGGUCCAGGACGACCUGGUAGACCAAUUGGACCAGCAGUGCCUGCUGCUCCACGUUCCCCUGCACCUGGGAGGCCUUGUUCACCUGGUGGGCCAGGAGGACCUGGAUGACCUCUUUCACCAAUUGGGCCAGUCUCACCAGUAGGACCCUAAGCACAAAGACACGUCUGAACAGCUUCCACAGAUUGAAAUCUUGACCUUGCUCCUUAGGCAAUGAAGCUUAAAACACAGCGCAUUUCCACACAUGGGAGGAGGUUACAAAAAGUAUAUGUAAGGGAAAUUCAUGUACUGUGCUUGUCUCGAAACACUGUCUGUACUGUUUUUCUGUAUAACAUGAAUUGUAAGGUGAGAGAGUUGAAAGAUACUUCUUUAGACGCACUAGUAGAAAACUUUCACUAAAGGAAUUAUCUAUAAAAAGCCCAUGCAAUCCAAAUGUCUGAUUUUUCUGCAAAUAUGUAGUAGCAGAUAAAAUUGAACUUUGAUGGUAAAACAUUCCACAAUCUAGAAGUGAUCAAAAUUUAGUCUCUGACAAGAAUGUCAUAUAAUAUAUUGUUCUUUAUAAAUUAUUUUGCAUUAGAAAUCUCACUUUACAUUCUUGACUUCUGCUUCAUGACCAUACGAAGAAAACACACACUAAAAAUAAAAGUGGCAAAAUAAUCUCAACAUUUACACAUUUCAUGGAACUAUUGGUAAGUAUUAAGUAUAACUUUCUGUUAUGAAUAAUUUCUCACCAAAGUAAAGAUAAUCAUUGAUAUACUUCUUUUAGUACAACAAAAAUAACUGCCCUGUGCAUUAGACAUAAUAUAAGCAUUAAAAAUAAACUUUAUAAAGUUAAGGAUGAAAUUAAAUGAUGUACCUGAGGGCCAACAACCCCACCAGGACCAGGAGGACCAGUUUUUCCUUGAAAUCCCUGUGAAAUAAUCAUAGAAUGCUACGUUACCUAGGAAAAUAUAUAGAAGAGCCAAAUUCUUAUCUGAGCUGAUGAGGAGAAACAGAAAUUCCAUGUCAUAAGUUCUUCUCUUCAGAAAAUAAAAAUGAGAUAUUCUGGUUUUCUUGUGUACCUCAGAAGUGAGGGACUGAUUAAUCUUUCUUAGCAGUAGUAAAAUUUCCAUUCAGUUUUACAGAUCUCUCUAGGCGAAGUUGCUUAGGUGGUGCAGCUGAAUGACAGCUGAAAAUACAUUUUUACAUAUGUAUGUCAUGAAUCAUAAAGCCAGAUAUUUAAAUAUUUUUUAAAAAAUACUUUUUAAAGAAAGGCAUAGAAGGCGGAUUAAAUUGGACAGGCAUUAGAAGGAACUAGUUUGGGGUAUACUGCAGACUUUCUGCAUCAUAUGCUUUGAAUAUGAGGUUCACACAGAUGGCUACUGCAUUGUGCUCCUGUUUAGCUCUGCUGCCAUGGCUGCUCUGUCUCAAACCUCACAUGCCAUCAGCUAGCUCAUAAAAAAUGUCCAGUUCUGGGCUCCUCAGUUCAAGAAGGACAGGGAACUUGUAGAGAGUCCAGUGGAGGACCACAGAGAUUACUAGGGGCUUGGAGCAUUUCUCUUAUGAGGAAAGGCUGAGAGAACUGGAACUGUUCAGCCUGGAGAAGAGAAGAGUGAGAGGAGAUCUUAUCAAUGUUUAUAAAUAUGUAAUCAGUAGGAGUCAAGUUGAUGGGGCCAGGCUAUUUUUGGUGGUGCCCAGUGACAGGAGAAGGGGCAGAAACCGGAACAUAGGAAGUUCCAUACAAACAUGAGGAAAAACUUUGAAAGUUUCAGAGCCCUGAAACAAGCUGCCCAGAGAGGUUCUGGAGUCUCCUUCUCUGGAGAUAUUGAAAACCCAUCUGGACAUUUUCCUGUGCAACUACUUUAGGAAACCUGCUUCAGCAGGGGGAUCAGACAAGAUGAUUUCCAGAGGUUACUUCCAACCCUUAUGAUUCUGUGAUUCUGUGUGAUUACUGCUGUAUCACAGCCAGGGUUCUCUGCAUAACAGUCUGUAUCUUCCUCAUACUAUCCCCACCUGUGUAAAAACAAAGGUAUCAUUUGGCCCAUAUUUCUUAGAAAUUUCUCAGCAUGCCUCAAGGCACAGUCUCACUUACUAAAUAUGAGAUAUGAGUAUUAAUUUUUACUAUUUCUGUUGACUAGUAAAGCACAUUCUGAUGUUGCUAACUGAUCAGAGCAAGGAAUAAUCUCACUCUUAUUGUAUGGAAACAAAACAAAAAUUUCUCAUGUUUAACCUACUACACCAGUAGAUAACUACCUUCAUAUUAUCUCCCAGUCCAAGAUUCCUCUCCUUUUCUCUGUUGCUUCUAUUUUUCUAGUUUUGGUCACACUAUUCUGACUUCAAGAGGUUUACAACAGCAGCACAGUAAAGCUCAUUUACUUACAGUCUCACCCCGCUGUCCUGGAUGUCCAGGCAAGCCAUCUUUACCAGGUGGCCCCUGAAAUUGUAAAAUACAUAAAUAAAAUAAUUUCUUAGCCAUUCUUAAUACUGAAAUAAGUGUAUAGUUAGCUGCAGGAAUCUCCAAUGUCUUUAGUUUUAUUUUAGACUAGUCUUUAGUACAGUUUAUCUGCACAGAUUUUAGCUAUUGUUUUAACAAUACAUUUUCCUUGUGUCUUUCCUGAUGUGUAUUAGCAGUUCCUUGGAGGGUAACUGUUGGGUUGUCAAGCACAUGAAUUUUCAAAAUGGAUUUCAAUAAACUCAGAAAUUUUGGAAAUAUUUCUUUUCCAUUUUUCUUUGCCUAAUGGCUCAGUUAAAAAUAAAAUAAAAUAAAAUAAAAUAAAAUAAAAUAAAAUAAAAUAAAAUAAAAUAAAAUAAAAUAAAAUAAAAAACCACUACAAAUUAUGGGAGUAUUUGAUGAAUUUCCAAUUUUGGCAAUGGCAAUAAAAGUAACAAAUACAUGCAUGCAAAAACAAACAAACAAACAAACAAACAAAGCGAAGAAACAAAAAACAGGUGGUUUGAUACUUUUGUACUUAAUCCUGGUGAGCAGAAACACACUAGCAAAGCAGUAUGAUUAGUUCAGGCUGCAGCUUAAAUGUGCAACUACUACACAUUUCUGCUAGUAAUGAAUGUCUCCUUCCUCUUUGUUUUUUUCUCAGUGAAUCAAAUGUUAAAAGGAAAUACAUAUUACCUUAUUAAAAUUUUGCUUAAAUUCAGCUUGUCACCCAGACUUUGGCAUCAAGAUACUUGAGGAUUUCCAGCUUGGCAUGUUGUGCUGAAUGUCAUGUGUGCUGCACUGAUGAUGUCUGAAUUAUCACUUUGCAUAUGUGAGUUCUUGUCUUAGCCUUAAAAGUCCAUAAGUAUCAAGGAAAUUUGUAUAUUUGUAGUCUAGACAUAAACCGUCUCUUAAAAAAAAGUCUUAAAUAUUACCUUCAGAAUGUAUGAAAGUACAGAAACUGUAUGAAAAAUAAUAUUCUUGUUAUUGUACCUACUUAAUUUAGAAGAUACUCACUGGGGGUCCCUUUGGUCCAGGAAAUCCAACAGGUCCUUGAGGCCCUUGUGGUCCCUAGUAUAUAAGCAAGCAAACAGGCAAAGUUUUAUUCCAGCUGCCACGACAGUGGACUGAAGUUUGCUUCAAUUAUAAAAUAUAUAAACUCUCUAGAUAAUAUAUGGCCAAGCCUCAUCUAUGUUGUCAUAAAUACUGGUACAACAGCUCACACUAACAGAUUGAAAGCAAGACUACUUCUGUAGGAAUGCAAUUAGAAAAAAUAACAAUUAUGAAGUAUUUCUAUCUAAUCCCUGAAACAGUGGAUAAUAAAGUAGGAGUUAACUUAUUAACUCCUUAAUAAAGUAAGGAACAUUGUUUUCUAUGUUGCAUAAAGUAUGGGAAUUCAUUCAGUUUGGUGGUCUGUAUUAAUGGAAUAGAAUUUUCAUCUUUGGCAGUUUCUGCCAAAUAUAUUUCUGAAAUAUUACUCUGGUAAUAUUUCAAGCUACUUUUAUAGCAGUGCUAGUUUCCAAACAGAAUAAGCUUUCCAAGUUACCAGGGAGAAAGAAAAAUAUUCAUGCUUUCAUGAAAAGUAGUUGAGAUAGAUUAAAAAAAAAAAAAAAAAGUGCAAUGCAUGAAAAUUUUGUUUCUGUAGUUUUGUAUAUACGUAUAUAUGUAGGGAGAGAAAAUUUUCAUGGAGCAUUGUUUCACAAAUCUAGUGAAAGAUGAUGAUAUGAGUUAGCACACUGUGUUUUACACAUAUGCACAUACAUGUAUGUCCACAUAUAUCUAUGGACAUAGAUCUGUGUACUUACAUAAUUAUACAAAAUGCCAGCUUACUGUUUCUAAAAUUAUUACCAAGCAAAACAGAGGCCAACUCUUAAAAUUUAUUGCUGAUAUGUUCAAAGGGACUAUGUCAGCUUAUUAAAAGACUUUUCACUGUUUAGUUUUUAAUAUGCUAAGUCAAAGAUUAGCCACCUGAAAAACCUUAUUUAUUCUAUGCUGUUCCAGAGCCAAGCUAUGUAUACUAAUCAUACAGUGCAACCCUUACCCUGUUCUUGGUAUAAAAUGUGUGGUUUUCUAAAAUGUCAGAUGUCAAAAUAUGUUAGAAAUGUUGCUUUGAAGUUUGAAGCAAAGGAUCAUAAUCAGGAGGCCACAUCUCUCAAAUUAUGGUACCUUUUAGCUCCUUUGAUAAAGUACUAGCUACUUCUGAGUUCAUUAGAGUACAGAGCAUGACUGCCAGAGCAUGACAGCCUCCUGAAGUAGAUGAAGCAGUGCACAAAUGUAGCUGAAGAAGACGUCGCUUCUGCCCAACCUGGAGAUCUGUCCUUAAGUGAAUCUUAUACAGCAAUACUAAAUCCAAGUUAACUAAGAAGUGUAAAGCAAAGGAGGAAAUCUUUGUGAUGUUACUACACUGUCUUUCUCAUAAAUUACCACUCUAUUUUGACUCUCGCAUCUUGAGCCGUUUUAAUGAAAGAUUUCCAGUUUGUUCUUAUUGACAAAAUGUCUUGCAGAUUUCAAGCUGGUAUAAUGAUGGGUUAUGUGAGAAACAGCACUAGAAUACUAACAACAUGUUAUUAAAGUUACUUUUUAUUUUUGUCAUUGAAUUUCAUUUUAGCAGUAGCCAGACAGAACAGAUUGUUUAAUCUUCACAUGUCUUGUACCUGGAAUAGCCUCACUUGAGUAGAAAUGACAGUUUUAGUUCUUAGCUGAUAUUCACCCCUAUUGGGAAGCAAACAGAUACCACACAUUAAAUUACAUAAGUGAUAUCAUAUGUGGGUCUCGGUGAUAACUUCAUCUUUUUGGUCUAAUCAGUUAAUCUCCAGGGAUGCCUUCAUCUAAGAUGACCUGUUCACUAUGUUCAGUCCCCCUCCCAUUCCUCGUCCUUAUAACCUCCUGGAAUUAUCAGUAAACCCCUGAAUCUUUAGGCUCUGCUCUUCAGCUCCUGGUAGCCUGCCUCAGAUGUUCCUCCACAGGGUAAGGCAACACAGACUUCCUUUUUUGGACUAUGCAUAAUUCUGAUUUAUGUAGCAUACUACUUAACUCAUUCCUCCUUUGAAUCUCAGCUUCCUACCCGUCUGUCUCUUCCUUGACACAUCAUUUUUGUUUCACUUAAACUUACCACUUAUUCUUGCCACCAAUGUUCCACUUGAUACUUUGUCAUUUGCUUAAUAUACACACAGGUACAAAUCAAAUUUAAUAUUGUUUUUCUAUUUGCUGUUGUGUAAUGCAUAUAUAUUUUUUUCUAUUGAUAAGAGUAGUAAGUAGAAAAUUUUAUUUUAGCAUGCACGGUAGGAUUUCUCAAGGAUGCAGUUUGAAGUUUAUACAGUUUGAAGGAAAUUCUUAGUUGAUCAGAACUAAAAAAACAUCAGCUGUUUCAACAAAGAAUCUCCUAGGGAUGGCUUGUGUGAUUUGUAAAUCUCAUAAACAAGUGGCAUGCUACAGUAAAUAGGGCAUUCUUAAGACCAGAGACUGGUAAAGUGCAACUGUAAUUUGCAUAGAUAUAUCGCAAAGUGUAUAUGAAUUCUCUUUGUCUUAUUUAUAAAAAACUGUGUUUGAAGAAGCUUUCAGCUAACUUGAGCUUACCCACUCCUAAAUUUAUGAAAAGCAACAUCGUUAGAAUUGAAGUUUUGUUUUUUCUGGUUAGUCUGAUCAAAGAAAGGCAAAUAGAUGAGGGAGAACUAAAAAUAAAUUGAUCCUCCCACCACCAAACCUCACUUCUAUAUAUCAGGAAAGGAACCACACAUAUAGAUAUCUUUCACGCACCCUUUCACCUGGUGGGCCAGGCGGACCAUCAUUGCCUGAAGUACCCUAAAAAAGAAGAACAAUGUGUUCAAAGAUGAAACCUUCAUUUUCUUUAAAAGAGACAGCCUGCAGCUGAUUUGUAUAAUGUGGCUGAUAAUUACCUUUGGACCUGGUUUGCCUGUGGGACCUCUUGGGCCUCUUGAGCCUCUUGGACCCUGUCAAAUAAAAUUUAAAAUUGAAAAAAAAAAACAGAAUCACAGAAUCACCACAGUUUGAAAAUACCUCUAAGAUCACCCAGUCCAAUCAUCCACUUAUCACCAAUGUUUCCCACUAAACCAUGGCCCUCUGUACAACAUCUAAGCUUGGUAAUUGUUGAAUACUGUAACAAAUUCAAAUCAAAAUCAUUCUUCAUGCUAUGGUGAAGGCAAUUAAUAUAGAAAAACCUCUAUAUUGCAAAGCAAAAGUACAUACUGUUGGUCCUCGCUGUCCUCUGGGGCCUGGUUUGCCAUGUAAUCCCUGUGUAGAAAGUACAGAAGCAAUACAGAAUAACAUACAGUAUAGUAAUACUAGCCCUUAAUUUUUUUGCUUUAGUAUAUUUCCUAUGUAUAACCAGUAGAUUCCUUUCCUUAGGCUUGGUGUUAGGUUAGCAUUGCUGUGUAUUCUAAUGAAAGGAGGGUUAAAAUUCUGGACAGUAUUCUUCCAGUAGAAAAAGGAACUUGAACGGUACUUUUUUUGUUUUGUUUUGUUUUUAUAUUGAUCUUAUCUCACAUGUUAAAAUAAAAUUAUAUAUUAUUCUUACAAUGUUGUAUACUCUGUAGACUUCUUAGGGACAAUGACUGUCUUACUAGUGUACCACAUAUGAGUGUAUACCUUUAAGCAAGAUUAAUGAUAAUGCCUGCUUUACACACACACACAAAAAAAAAGCAGUUAUUCUUAUAUUAUUGGUGAGAAGCCUUACACUGAAGUAUACAUGCAGUUUGGUGGCGUUAAUUAUGACAUUAGUACCCUAGCUGAAUCAAAAGCUUUACAAAGACUUGAUAAUUGAUCAACAUAAUUAUACUUUAAAUCUGCUCUUUGAUGUGUUACUAUUUUACUUAUUUGUUUGAUUGUUUGUUUUUGAUCUGAUAUCCUGAUUAGCAGUCAUGUCUCAUUUAACUCAACAGGGAUGAAAAGAACAUUGCUUUGCUGCUUUCCUCUGUCCAUAACAACAUACUCGAGAUAAAAUAAUACAAGAACAAUCUAAAGCAUACAAAAGCAAUGUAAAUGCCAUUAGUUUUCUUCUAUUUCAUCUUAAAAUCAUGAAUUUCUGCUUCUCAUGCUACAAAUUAAAAUAGACUGUUAAGAACAAUAGCAAACAUUAUUUUAGUUUUACUUAAGUUGAUAGUCUCUAUGAAUUUCUAUCCAUUCUCUCACUUCUGCAAAUUUCGUCAGCCUUCUAGAAACAUAUUCAGCUAUGUUCUGAUGAGCUUUAGAGACAGCAAUACAGUUGCCUGUAUGUCAUUUUAAGUUUGAAGAAGGUGAACAAUGGAUUUUCCCUCAUGUGCUUCAAAGCAGCAAAAUCUGUAAUUUUGUAGUAUAUAUGUUAUACAUAUGUUAUAUAUAUAUAUAUGUUCAUUAUCUUGUUUGGUAUAUUUUACAUUUUCAAAGCUCAGACUAUAAAAAAGCCUGUGGUAAAUCUCAAUACUUAUGAAAUAGAAGUUGAAUUUCCUUGAGGGUAAACUGCAUCAUAGCAAGUCAGUGAAUGGGAUACAGGAAAAUAUAGUCUUUGCCAGAUCACUCGGCUAUACUGUCAAAUCAGAUGUUCAGCAAAGGGAGUAUUUUCCUCUCUUCUUCAAACAUAUAAUUCUGGUAGCAUAUUCAAUGAGAAAGUGUCUGAGUUCCUGUAUACUUAGGUUAACACCUUAAAGAAUGAGAACUAGUGACUCAGUAUGUCCUGUUUUACAUAACUGGUCAUCUCAAGUGUGAAAAGCCUGUUUUUAGAGUUCCUUGGAUAACAGCUUCAGUGAAUUCCUGUAGCGCAGAGUACCAACAGAUAACUGUCAUGCAAGCAAUAAUUAUCAUACCCUUGCACCUUUCUCUCCAUUGGCACCUGGAAAUCCUGGGAAACCAGUUGAGCCCUACAUAAAAAUCAAUGUAAAUAUCAGAAAUCAUCAAUUGAAAAAAACUGUACUAUAGCCAGCAUUUAAUUUAUAUAUAAAGCACACCUCUAAACUGAUGCACAUUUUACAUCAUGUUAAACUUGCAAGUGUGACAGCUCUAACAAAUAGCUGUAAAUUAACUUACCAUCCAUCUUAAGUCCAGAAUAAUUAAAAUAAAAAAUAAAAAAAAAACCAUGUAUGGAAGGAACAUUAUUUUUCAUCUUAGACAUUAUUCACUAAAUCUACACCAGAAUCAUUAACAGCCCACUAGAAAUAACUGCAAUUGUAUCAUAACAAAGUGAAACAAAGCCUUGUCCCUUGCAGUAAAAUAACUAUUUUAUAAAAUAACUGCAUUAAAGUAAUUAUAAGUGUUGCCACUUUUCAGCAGUGGUUAUCCUACUAAGCUGAAAAUGACCUCCGGUGGUUUACUCACUGUAAACUGACCAGUGGAAAGUUUCAUUUAAUUGAUGCAAUUUGUUCAUGUGGUUAUUAGGCUUGUCUAGUAAGCAGAAUUUAUGUGGAGAUUAUCUGACUGGGUUCUAUGCAUGGAAACUGCUUCCAGGAGCCAUUCCUGCUUCUCCUUUUUCUCUGAUUUCUUCCUGCUUACUGCCUACCAGAUCUAACAGGGCUAUUUUCUUCUUGAUUU
This is a long non-coding RNA of Gallus gallus (chicken), 16903 nucleotides long. RefSeq lists it as uncharacterized. Lineage: Eukaryota; Metazoa; Chordata; Aves; Galliformes; Phasianidae. The transcript is spliced from 28 exons. The record is from RefSeq and is a predicted model, not a curated record.